Molecule: ribosomal RNA, 274 nt
Filed under: uncultured bacterium
Lineage: Bacteria
Description: partial 16S ribosomal RNA
Rfam family: Bacterial small subunit ribosomal RNA
Source: RNAcentral
AUACGGAGGGUGCAAGCGUUACUCGGAAUCACUGGGCGUAAAGCGCGCGCAGGCGGGCUGAUAAGUUGGAUGUGAAAGCCUACGGCUCAACCGUAGAACUGCAUCCAAAACUGUCAGUCUAGAGUGUGGGAGAGGAAGAUGGAAUUAGUUGUGUAGGGGUAAAAUCCGUAGAGAUAACUAGGAAUACCAAAAGCGAAGGCAAUCUUCUGGAACACUACUGACGCCGAGGCGCGAAGGCGUGGGGAGCAAACAGGAUUAGAUACCCCGGUAGUCC